This 62-nucleotide transfer RNA is filed under the name Haplohymenium flagelliforme. RNAcentral's name for it is "tRNA-Thr". It matches the Rfam family "tRNA", at positions 8 to 61 of the family's 71-position model. From Rfam's summary of the family: Transfer RNA (tRNA) molecules are approximately 80 nucleotides in length. Their secondary structure includes four short double-helical elements and three loops (D, anti-codon, and T loops). Further hydrogen bonds mediate the characteristic L-shaped molecular structure. tRNAs have two regions of fundamental functional importance: the anti-codon, which is responsible for specific mRNA codon recognition, and the 3' end, to which the tRNAs corresponding amino acid is attached (by aminoacyl-tRNA synthetases). tRNAs cope with the degeneracy of the genetic code in two manners: having more than one tRNA (with a specific anti-codon) for a particular amino acid; and 'wobble' base-pairing, i.e. permitting non-standard base-pairing at the 3rd anti-codon position. The record is from RNAcentral. Lineage: Eukaryota; Viridiplantae; Streptophyta; Bryopsida; Hypnales; Anomodontaceae.
CCUGCUUAGCUCAGAGGUCARAGCACCGCACUUGUAAUGCGAUGGUCAUCGGUUCGACUCCG